Chenopodium quinoa (quinoa) is the source of this 985-nucleotide long non-coding RNA. RefSeq lists it as uncharacterized. The transcript has 2 exons. NCBI's taxonomy places the organism in Eukaryota, Viridiplantae, Streptophyta, Magnoliopsida, Caryophyllales, Amaranthaceae. The record is from RefSeq and is a predicted model, not a curated record.
ACUUAUCUACCUUUUUAGAACCACUACAACCAACUCUCAUGUAAUGAGGGUUUUUUUAUGGCAAAACUCCCCAUAUAUGUAGAAUUGUAGAUAGAAAUUGUGAGUGUAAUUUAUAAAAGGUCACUACAUCCAACUCUAAAAAAACAAACGUCAUCUAAGUGAGACUGAGGGUUCAGCACCAAAUUUACAAAAGGAGAUCAAAUUCGGUUUCGGCGCCGCAAUGAGGUUGUUCAUCUUCAUCUUCCUCGUAGUUCCUGCAAUGGCUGGAGUUUAUGCAGCAAUCCAAUUAUUGGAUUGGAGCACAUCUGAGGACAAAUGAUUGAGAGAUUUCAACUCACAAUUUCGAGUUUUCUUCUAUCAUAUGCUUGGUUUUAGCUGAUUUCUUUACUUUAGUUCCUUGCUUUGUAAGUAAUACUUUCAUGACUGAAGUUUGAUUCCAAUUAGCCAGCAUUUCUUGCACAAUAAACCUUAUGUGAUUUCUAUCAUACAUAACAUAUGUCAUGGAGAAUUGAAGUGAUAGCGUUCUAAAACUCUGCAUUUGUGCUCAUAUAAACAUAGGGGUUUCUGCAUCAAUUCUACAGAGUACAUUAUUUCUCGAACAAAGCAUGGCCGGGGCAAUGGAAUCCAUCAUGAUCAUCAUCUUUUCUAGAAUUGGAUCUUAGUCAGAGAAUUGAACCUUACUAAAUACAGCAAGCAGAAAAGGUUGUUCUGCUGGUCAGUUCUUCCUGCUUUUAAACUAUUUUGAAAAGAGUUCAGUUUGUGGAAUUGAUUGCCAUGAUGGUGUUGUUUUUCUUGACCUUCUUGUAUGUUGAAGUAGACUUUUCUUCUUUCUUUGGAAGAUAAUAGGUGCUUGCAUUGGUGCUUGAUGCUGCUUCGUGUAUCAUAAAGUCGUACACUGUUAAAUGGUACAAUUCAUCUUGAUUUAUCUUGUAACAUAAUCUCAUAGCCAUUGCUUAGAAAAUAGUAUCACAGCCAUGUUCUCAUU